UACGAAGGGAGCUAGCGUUGUUCGGAAUCACUGGGCGUAAAGCGCACGUAGGCGGAUUUGUCAGUCAGGGGUGAAAUCCCGGGGCUCAACCUCGGAACUGCCUUUGAUACAGCAAGUCUUGAGUUCGAGAGAGGUGGGUGGAAUUCCUAGUGUAGAGGUGAAAUUCGUAGAUAUUAGGAAGAACACCGGUGGCGAAGGCGGCCCACUGGCUCGAUACUGACACUGAGGUGCGAAAGCGUGGGGAGCAAACAGG
Molecule: ribosomal RNA, 253 nt
Filed under: uncultured bacterium
Lineage: Bacteria
Description: partial 16S ribosomal RNA
Rfam family: Bacterial small subunit ribosomal RNA
Source: RNAcentral